RNAcentral lists this ribosomal RNA (714 nucleotides) under uncultured beta proteobacterium. RNAcentral describes it as "bacterial SSU rRNA". It matches the Rfam family "Bacterial small subunit ribosomal RNA", at positions 47 to 757 of the family's 1533-position model. The record is from RNAcentral. Lineage: Bacteria; Pseudomonadati; Pseudomonadota; Betaproteobacteria.
CUUUACACAUGCAAGUCGAGCGGCAGCACGGGGUAACCCUGGUGGCGAGCGGCGAACGGGUGAGUAAUACAUCGGAACAUGCCCAGUCGUGGGGGAUAACACUUCGAAAGAAGUGCUAAUACCGCAUACGUCCUGAGGGAGAAAGCGGGGGAUCGCAAGACCUCGCGCGAUUGGAGUGGCCGAUGUCAGAUUAGCUAGUUGGUGGGGUAAAGGCCUACCAAGGCAACGAUCUGUAGCUGGUCUGAGAGGAUGAUCAGCCACACUGGGACUGAGACACGGCCCAGACUCCUACGGGAGGCAGCAGUGGGGAAUUUUGGACAAUGGGGGCAACCCUGAUCCAGCCAUUCCGCGUGAGUGAAGAAGGCCUUCGGGUUGUAAAGCUCUUUCGGCAGGAACGAAACGGUGAGCUCUAACAUAGCUUGCUAAUGACGGUACCUGAAGAAGAAGCACCGGCUAACUACGUGCCAGCAGCCGCGGUAAUACGUAGGGUGCGAGCGUUAAUCGGAAUUACUGGGCGUAAAGCGUGCGCAGGCGGUUGUGUAAGACAGGUGUGAAAUCCCCGGGCUUAACCUGGGAACUGCGCUUGUGACUGCACAGCUAGAGUAUGGCAGAGGGGGGUGGAAUUCCACGUGUAGCAGUGAAAUGCGUAGAGAUGUGGAGGAACACCGAUGGCGAAGGCAGCCCCCUGGGCCAAUACUGACGCUCAUGCACGAA